CUGUGGCUUAGCCAGUUACAGCACCUGUCUAGUAAACAGGAGAUCCUGAGUUCAAAUCCCAGCAG
Molecule: transfer RNA, 65 nt
Filed under: Mus musculus (house mouse)
Lineage: Eukaryota; Metazoa; Chordata; Mammalia; Rodentia; Muridae
Rfam family: tRNA
About the family: Transfer RNA (tRNA) molecules are approximately 80 nucleotides in length. Their secondary structure includes four short double-helical elements and three loops (D, anti-codon, and T loops). Further hydrogen bonds mediate the characteristic L-shaped molecular structure. tRNAs have two regions of fundamental functional importance: the anti-codon, which is responsible for specific mRNA codon recognition, and the 3' end, to which the tRNAs corresponding amino acid is attached (by aminoacyl-tRNA synthetases). tRNAs cope with the degeneracy of the genetic code in two manners: having more than one tRNA (with a specific anti-codon) for a particular amino acid; and 'wobble' base-pairing, i.e. permitting non-standard base-pairing at the 3rd anti-codon position.
Source: Rfam by way of RNAcentral